CUCAGGGAGGUAGUGACAAGAAAUAACAACACUGGAAAUUUUAUUUCUAGUGAUUGGAAUGAUGGGAAUUUAAACCCCUUUCAGAGUAACAAUUGGAGGGCAAGUCUGGUGCCAGCAGCCGCGGUAAUUCCUGCUCCAAUAGCGUAUAUUAAAGUUGUUGCAGUUAAAAAGCUCGUAGUUGGAUGUCUGCUGGAAGCAAUCAGUCCGCCCUAUUUGUAGGGUGUGCACUUGAUGAAUUCUGGCAUCUAUGUCCUAAUGUGAUAGAUACGGCGGUGUAUAUGGGUUAAUCCUAUAUACCCGUUUUUGUAUAUUAUAUUGGGAUAAUACCGUUACUUUGAGAAAAUUAGAGUGUUUGAAGCAGGCUAAUUGCCUUGAAUACUGCAGCAUGGAAUAACAAUAUAGGAUUUCGGUUCUAUUUUGUUGGUUUCUAGGACUGAAAUAAUGAUUAAUAGGGACAGUUGGGGGCAUUCGUAUUUAACUGUCAGAGGUGAAAUUCUUAGAUUUGUUAAAGACGAACUACUGCGAAAGCAUUUGCCAAAGAUGUUUUCAUUAAUCAAGAACGAAAGUUAGGGGCUCGAAGACGAUCAGAUACCGUCGUAGUCUUAACCAUAAACUAUGCCGACUAGAGAUAGGAAAAUGUCAUUUUUCUGACUU
RNAcentral lists this ribosomal RNA (654 nucleotides) under Sarcocystis hjorti. Its description in RNAcentral is "SSU rRNA". It matches the Rfam family "Eukaryotic small subunit ribosomal RNA", at positions 455 to 1077 of the family's 1831-position model. Lineage: Eukaryota; Apicomplexa; Conoidasida; Eucoccidiorida; Sarcocystidae. The record is from RNAcentral.